Long non-coding RNA from Marmota monax (woodchuck), 425 nucleotides. RefSeq lists it as uncharacterized. The transcript has 2 exons. NCBI's taxonomy places the organism in Eukaryota, Metazoa, Chordata, Mammalia, Rodentia, Sciuridae. The record is from RefSeq and is a predicted model, not a curated record.
UGACACUCUAAGGUACAAACUCAAAAAAAUUGAAAAGCACACUCUCUGAAAUACUUAUGAAUAUUCAUAGUGACAUUAUUCAUAAUAGCUAGCCCUACACGCUGGCCUUCUCUGGAGUACAUCGCCCUGCUCUGCUCAGGAGCCAAGCUCAGGAGACUCGUGAUCACUGCCCUUUGCUAGAAUCCAGGAGAGUCAGUUCCAAGAGGCAGAGAAGCCGCUGGGAAGAGGUGAGAGUCGGGAACAGAGCAGUGGCCUCUCCUGUUCACGUCAGAUCUGCGCCAGGAAAUGCGAUGGAGGGUCUGGCCUGGACUCCCUCCUCCUUCCUCCUUUCUGCCUCCUGAGGACACUGGUGCUUCCUUGUAUGGCCCUGCGUGGCAUGGAGACCCCUGCUCUGAAAGCCUAAGUAAUAAAGAUCCCCCAUGUUC